RNAcentral lists this long non-coding RNA (440 nucleotides) under Myripristis murdjan (pinecone soldierfish). RNAcentral describes it as "lncRNA (ENSMMDG00005023536.1)". The record is from RNAcentral. Lineage: Eukaryota; Metazoa; Chordata; Actinopteri; Holocentriformes; Holocentridae.
GAGGGCCCUGCCUUGCUGGCCAUCACGUCGCUGAAUGGAGAUCAGGAGCUGGGCAGGAUUGGAGCCAGGUCAAGGGGAACAGAGGGGAAGGGGACGGUGGAUGAGGAUGGCAUUGAAAUAUCCCCACUCAAAAUUAAUCUGACUGUGAUCAACUCUACUUCCAACCACACUGCCACUCAGGAGAAUGUCUCAGGGUUACCAGAGGCAGUGGUGGAGACUGUUCUCCUCACUCGGGACGACUCUGUCAAGAAGAGCUCAGGAGACAAGAAGAGGAACAGGGAGCGUGGGAAGGCAAGUGAGCGGGUACAGGGGGAGGAAGAGGAAUUUUACCAUGGUGAAGAUUACAGUUAUGAAUACGAGGUAGGAAAUGGUUUCAAAAAGAGCUGACACUCACUGCAUUUCCAGAAAUUAAAAUAUCUAAGUGAUGCCUGGUCAUGUGG